Molecule: ribosomal RNA, 590 nt
Filed under: uncultured soil bacterium
Lineage: Bacteria
Description: bacterial SSU rRNA
Rfam family: Bacterial small subunit ribosomal RNA
Source: RNAcentral
GCUGGCGGCGUGCCUAAUACAUGCAAGUCGAGCCGAAUCUUUGGGAGCUUGCUCCUAAAGAUUAGCGGCGGACGGGUGAGUAACACGUGGGCAACCUGCCUAUAAGACUGGGAUAACUUCGGGAAACCGGAGCUAAUACCAGAUAAUUCUUUUCUACUCAUGUAGAAAAGCUGAAAGACGGUUUACGCUGUCACUUAUAGAUGGGCCCGCGGCGCAUUAGCUAGUUGGUGAGGUAACGGCUCACCAAGGCCACGAUGCGUAGCCGACCUGAGAGGGUGAUCGGCCACACUGGGACUGAGACACGGCCCAGACUCCUACGGGAGGCAGCAGUAGGGAAUCUUCCGCAAUGGACGAAAGUCUGACGGAGCAACGCCGCGUGAGUGAUGAAGGUUUUCGGAUCGUAAAACUCUGUUGUUAGGGAAGAACAAGUACGAGAGUAACUGCUCGUACCUUGACGGUACCUAACCAGAAAGCCACGGCUAACUACGUGCCAGCAGCCGCGGUAAUACGUAGGUGGCAAGCGUUGUCCGGAAUUAUUGGGCGUAAAGCGCGCGCAGGCGGUCCUUUAAGUCUGAUGUGAAAGCCCACGG